UGCCGGAAUAGCUCAGUUGG
This 20-nucleotide transfer RNA is filed under the name Solenostoma obovatum. RNAcentral's name for it is "partial tRNA-Phe". The record is from RNAcentral. Lineage: Eukaryota; Viridiplantae; Streptophyta; Jungermanniopsida; Jungermanniales; Solenostomataceae.